GGGGGGAUAGCUCAAUGAUAGAGCAUGUGCUUAGCAUACACGAGGUCCUGGGUUCAAUUCUCAGUACCUCCA
This 72-nucleotide transfer RNA is filed under the name Camelus bactrianus (Bactrian camel). It matches the Rfam family "tRNA". From Rfam's summary of the family: Transfer RNA (tRNA) molecules are approximately 80 nucleotides in length. Their secondary structure includes four short double-helical elements and three loops (D, anti-codon, and T loops). Further hydrogen bonds mediate the characteristic L-shaped molecular structure. tRNAs have two regions of fundamental functional importance: the anti-codon, which is responsible for specific mRNA codon recognition, and the 3' end, to which the tRNAs corresponding amino acid is attached (by aminoacyl-tRNA synthetases). tRNAs cope with the degeneracy of the genetic code in two manners: having more than one tRNA (with a specific anti-codon) for a particular amino acid; and 'wobble' base-pairing, i.e. permitting non-standard base-pairing at the 3rd anti-codon position. The record is from Rfam by way of RNAcentral. RNAcentral also lists the same sequence under 2 other names. Lineage: Eukaryota; Metazoa; Chordata; Mammalia; Artiodactyla; Camelidae.